GGGCGCCCUCCCGCGGCUUGUGGCCACCGUUUUGCGGUGCUCGUCUCCUGUUGUUGUCGUCCAAGCCGCCCCUUUCGUCGUCUUUCGAGGGCAGGUCGGCGGGCAGAUCGCCGCAGUCGUCUCCCCCUUCCGGUGAUUUCAAUCUCACCUAAGCCACAGACGGGGCUUGACAAAGGAUGGAUCUUUGGGUCACGGGCGAGAGCCUUGCCUCGCUUCGGCUAGCGCAAAACAAUGGUGACGUCCGUGGACGUCGUUUACCUUGCUGGAGGCAUUGGGGUGACCUUAAUCUUGUAUCCGUGGGGUGAAAACCUAGUCUUUCUGACGGGCGAUGUGUCACACCCGUGGCCGUGGCGGAUCGCCGGCGACGUGAGAUAGACUAGCAGCACGAGAUGGACAUGGCGUGGGGAAGGGGAAGGUCCCCUGUCCCGUUCACGAGUUCGAUUUUAGAGAUAAGAUUCAACUUGUUUUCUUUACAGCCAGCAGGGUGUAUGUAUACCCAAUUACUCGCUGCCCACACGGGCCCACAUGACCACUCGCAGGUGGCUCACGCACACGCUAAAGAAUACGUCUUCUAUCUUCUGAAUACGUCAUGCGGGCGGCGUGACAUCUCCCCCCGCUGCAGAACUUGCUUGUCCCCAAGCAAGACAUGUAGGAAAGCGGCGCAUGACCACGUACAGAUCCUCCCAGGUUGCAGAAGCCUGCGGAAUGUUAGCCCAUUUCACCAAAACUUGUGGAAUAGCCCGGUUAUCUUUCUUAACGAGACGACGAUCCAACACCGAUUCCGGUUCAAGCUCAGUAGCACUCAAAUCAGCAAGUAAUGGCAGUUGUGUAUAAACUGGUGUGUAAUCAGGUGUAAAAGGCUUGAGUUGGGAGAUAUGAAAAACUGGAUGGACCAAGCUUCCUUCAGGAA
This is a long non-coding RNA of Panicum virgatum (switchgrass), 910 nucleotides long. RefSeq lists it as uncharacterized. The record is from RefSeq and is a predicted model, not a curated record. The transcript has 2 exons. Lineage: Eukaryota; Viridiplantae; Streptophyta; Magnoliopsida; Poales; Poaceae.